UGGUUCUGGCGGAAGCACGAGGAUUUUGCCUGCAUGUUGCCUGCCCCAUAAAGCUGAGAAAAGGAACGAAUCAACACAUCAGACCCUCAUGCCAUUUCCAUCUUCACCACAGCCCCUGCCCUUGUGAGUAAAGCCACUCAAGUAUCAAAGGAUACGCUUUCAAAUAACAUAUCUCAGUCAUGGGCUCCAGUGAUGGGCUCGGAAGUCAGGGGCUGGUUAUGCCGACAUGCCUUCUCUUGGCCUCCGCCCUGCCCUUCUGGGGAAGGGAAAUUGGAAGCUCUCCUGUGAUGAAUGAAAACAGAAGCAGCUUGUUAACAACAGCAGUUCUUAAUUACCUGUGCUUUGUUUUAUGACUUGGCAGGCUUCCCUGACCUGAAAGAGAAGGAAAAAAGAUGUGCUUGCAAAAGACAAAAAAUAAAUAAAUA
Long non-coding RNA from Manis javanica (Malayan pangolin), 425 nucleotides. RefSeq lists it as uncharacterized. NCBI's taxonomy places the organism in Eukaryota, Metazoa, Chordata, Mammalia, Pholidota, Manidae. The record is from RefSeq and is a predicted model, not a curated record.